Molecule: non-coding RNA, 78 nt
Organism: Schistosoma mansoni
Lineage: Eukaryota; Metazoa; Platyhelminthes; Trematoda; Strigeidida; Schistosomatidae
Source: Rfam
AGCCUUCUGUAUUCUCGCUGAGAUUUCGUCACAAACCAGACCACAAGGACUGACGAGAAUCCUAAGAUGAGUGAGGUG